This 597-nucleotide long non-coding RNA is filed under the name Heterocephalus glaber (naked mole-rat). RNAcentral describes it as "lncRNA (ENSHGLG00000032137.1)". The record is from RNAcentral. Lineage: Eukaryota; Metazoa; Chordata; Mammalia; Rodentia; Bathyergidae.
CACCUGCCCUGAGAGCCCUGCCCAGCUCGGCUGGUGAAGACCCCCCACCCCCUGCCACCCUCUCCUGUGGGCUCCUCAAAGCCACCCCCUCUGGAUCUAAUAGCAGCACCACUCGGAGAGCAUGCCCUUCGCUCCAGGGGCUUCAGAGCAUUUCUUUCCGCACAAACCUAACUAGACCUCCAGUGACACCAGCUUGGGUCAAGCCACUACCUUUGCUCCAGGUCGGAGCCUUGUGAUUGCCACCCACCUCUCACUGCCAUGUGAAUGGGCCGCUCAAAGGUGGCAGGUCCCUGACAUAUGUGGCCAUGGUGCUCCAUGGUGCAGUUGUAGGAGGACCUGUGACCCUGCCACCUGCCUCCCACUCCUCCCUUUAUGUACCUGAUCUGCCUGUGCCAGCCUAGAAUGCCACUCGCCCCCAUGCCUAGCAUGGCUCCCGGCACAGACAGGACACCUGCAGAUGAGUGCUGAAUGAAGAGACCUCCGAGGAUGCUUGGUGACAUGGGGCUUUGGAGCCUGGUCUGGCACUUGGCACUAAGCCAUGUGUUACAAAUCGAUUCAUUUAAUUAAUCUCCACAACUACCCUAGGAGGAAGGCACA